UCAAGCUAAUAAGAGCAUAAGGUGAAUGCCUUGGCAUCAAGAACCGAUGAAGGACGUAAAAAGCUGCGAUAAGCUUCGGGGAGGCGCACAUAGCCAACGAUCCGGAGAUUUCCGAAUGGGGAAACCUAGCUGAGAAAAGCUCAGUUGGCGUACAGUGAAUCAAUAGCUGUGCGUAGGGAACGCUCUGAACUGAAACAUCUAAGUAGGAGCAGGAAGAGAAAGAAACAUCGAUUUCCUAAGUAGUGGCGAACGAACGGGAAACAGGCCAAACCGAGAUACAUGUAUUUCGGGGUUGUGGACUACAUCAUGUGAUGGAGGUAAGGUAGUAGAAUUGUUUUGGGAAAGCAAGCCAAAGAAAGUGAAAGCCUUGUAUACGAAACCUAAAGACCCACAGUAGUAUCCAGAGUACAUCGGGACACGUGAAACCCUGAUGGAAGCCGGAGGGACCACCCUCCAAGCCUAAAUAUUCCUUGAUGACCGAUAGCGAAGAAGUACUGUGAAGGAAAGGUGAAAAGAACCCCGGGAGGGGAGUGAAAGAGAACCUGAAACCUUAUGUUUACAAACAGUCGAAGUUUUUCGGAACGACGGCGUACUUUUUGUAGAACGGUCCGGCGAGUUGCAGUGACAUGCGAGGUUAAGGAGUACAGCUCCGGAGCCGAAGGGAAACCAAGUCUUAACUGGGCGUCUAGUAUGUUAAUGCAGACCCGAAACCGGGUGACCUAUCCAUGGGCAGGUUGAAGUUACCGUAAAAGGUAAUGGAGGACCGAACUCACAUCUGUUGAAAAAGGUGGAGAUGACCUGUGGAUAGCGGAGAAAUUCCAAUCGAACUCGGAGAUAGCUGGUUCUCCUCGAAAUAGCUUUAGGGCUAGCCUUGAGGUAAAGUCUAAUGGAGGUAAAGCACUGAUUGGACGCGGGUCCCCAAAAGGAUACCAACUUCUAUCAAACUCAGAAUGCCAUAUAGAUAUACUCAGGAGUCAGACUAUGUGAGAUAAGUUUCAUAGUCAAAAGGGAAAGAGCCCAGACCGACAGCUAAGGUCCCAAAGUGUGUGUUAAGUGGAAAAGGAUGUUAGGUUUCUAAGACAACUAGGAUGUUGGCUCAGAAGCAGCCACUCAUUUAAAGAGUGCGUAACAGCUCACUAGUCGAGAGGUCUAGCGCCGAAAAUGUCCGGGGCUAAAACACACCACCGAAGCUACGGAAUUACCUAUGGUAAUUGGUAGAGGAGCAUUCUGUAAGGACGAAGCACAAUUGAAAGAGAGUGUGGACGAAACAGAAGAGAGAAUGCCGGAAUGAGUAGCGAGAUAUAUGUGAGAAUCAUAUAGGUCGAAUGUCUAAGGUUUCCUGGGUAAAGCUGAUCUGCUCAGGGUAAGUCGGGACCUAAGGUGAGGGCGAGAGCCGUAAUCGAUGGACAACAGGUAGAAAUUCCUGUACUACGUAUAAUCAGAACUGUGGGGACGCAGGAGGAUAGGAAAACCGGAGAAUGGAAAUAUCCGGCUAAGUACAAAGGUGUGAGUGAUAGGCAAAUCCGUCACUAUUAGCUGAAGUACGAAUGGGAGCGAAGAAAAGUAGCGAAGUUUCUGAAUCCACACUGUCAAGAAAAGCCGCUAUUGCGUUAUACGUACCCGUACCGCAAACCGACACAGGUAGACGAGGAGAAAAUCCACAGACCGACGGGAGAAGUGUUGUUAAGGAACUCGGCAAAAUGACCCCGUAACUUAGGGAUAAGGGGAGCCAACGCAAGUUGGUCACAGAAAAGAGGCUCAAGCGACUGUUUAGCAAAAACAUAGGUCUAUGCGAAACCGUAAGGUGAUGUAUAUGGGCUGACACCUGCCCGGUGCUGGAAGGUUAAAAGGAGAGGUCAGCGCAAGCGAAGCUUUGAAUUCAAGCCCCAGUAAACGGCGGCCGUAACUAUAACGGUCCUAAGGUAGCGAAAUUCCUUGUCAGGUAAGUUCUGACCCGCACGAAAGGCGUAAUGAUUUGUGCACUGUCUCGACAACACGCCCGGUGAAAUUGAAGAACCAGUGAAGAUACUGGUUACCCGCAACAGGACGGAAAGACCCCAUGGAGCUUUACUGCAGCCUGAUACUGGGAUUCGAUGAUGUAUGUACAGGAUAGGUGGGAGGCUAAGAAGCGAGAACGCCAGUUUUCGUGGAGCCGCCGGUGGGAUACCACCCUUAUGUCAUUGAA
This 2185-nucleotide ribosomal RNA is filed under the name human gut metagenome. Its description in RNAcentral is "bacterial LSU rRNA". It matches the Rfam family "Bacterial large subunit ribosomal RNA", at positions 3 to 2218 of the family's 2925-position model. The record is from RNAcentral.